CAGUCGCCGCGGGAAUACGUAGGGUGCGAGCGUUGUCCGGAAUUAUUGGGCGUAAAGAGCUUGUAGGUGGUUUGUCGCGUCUGCUAUGAAGAUCCGGGGCUCAACCUCGGACUUGCAGUGGGUACGGGCAGACUAGAGUGUGGUAGGGGAGACUGGAAUUCCUGGUGUAGCGGUGGAAUGCGCAGAUAUCAGGAGGAACAUCAGUGGCGAAGGCGGCCACCUGGGACAACACUGACGCUGAGGCACGAAAGCGUGGGGAGCAAACAGGAUUAGAGACCCCAGUAGUCCCUGUCUCUUAUAC
RNAcentral lists this ribosomal RNA (301 nucleotides) under uncultured bacterium. RNAcentral's name for it is "partial 16S ribosomal RNA". It matches the Rfam family "Bacterial small subunit ribosomal RNA", at positions 509 to 807 of the family's 1533-position model. The record is from RNAcentral.